Podarcis lilfordi (Lilford's wall lizard) is the source of this 75-nucleotide non-coding RNA. NCBI's taxonomy places the organism in Eukaryota, Metazoa, Chordata, Lepidosauria, Squamata, Lacertidae. The record is from the annotation of a GenBank genome assembly.
GAUAGCUCAGUUGGUUAGGGCAAGGUGCUGAUAAUGCCAAGGUUGUAGGUUUGAUUCCCAUAUGGGAUGGUUGCA